Molecule: ribosomal RNA, 461 nt
Filed under: uncultured bacterium
Lineage: Bacteria
Description: partial 16S ribosomal RNA
Rfam family: Bacterial small subunit ribosomal RNA
Source: RNAcentral
CCUACGGGAGGCAGCAGUGAGGAAUAUUGGUCAAUGGGCGAGAGCCUGAACCAGCCAAGUCGCGUGAAGGAUGACGGUCCUACGGUUUGUAACCCUCUUUUGUCGGGGAGCAAUUGCGGGCACGCGUGGGCUGAGCGCGAGUACCCGCAGAAUAAGCAUCGGCUAACUCCGUGCCAGCAGCCGCGGUACUACGGAGGAUCCGAGCGUUAUCCGGCUUUAUUGGGGUUAAAGGGUGGGUAGGCGGGAUUGUAAGUCAGCUGUGAAAGUUUAGGGCUUAACCGUAGUCGUGCAGUUGAAACUGAUAGUCUUGAGUGUGCGAGAGGUAGGCGGAAUUCGUGGUGUAGCGGUGAAAUGCUUAGAGAUCACGAAGAACUCCGAUUGCGAAGGCAGCAUACUGGAGCCCAACUGACGCUGAAGCACGAAAGUGUGGGUAGCAAACAGGAUUAGAUACCCGUGUAGUC